RNAcentral lists this ribosomal RNA (876 nucleotides) under uncultured Nitrososphaerota archaeon. Its description in RNAcentral is "bacterial SSU rRNA". It matches the Rfam family "Archaeal small subunit ribosomal RNA", at positions 1 to 884 of the family's 1478-position model. Lineage: Archaea; Thermoproteati; Nitrososphaerota. The record is from RNAcentral.
UUCCGGUUGAUCCUGCCGGACCUGACUGCUAUCGGAUUGAUACUAAGCCAUGCGAGUCAUUGUAGCAAUACAAGGCAGACGGCUCAGUAACGCGUAGUCAAUCUACCCUAUGGACGGGAAUAACCUCGGGAAACUGAGAAUAAUGCCCGAUAGAACAUUAUGCCUGGAAUGGUUUAUGUUUCAAAUGAUUUAUCGCCAUAGGAUGGGACUGCGGCCUAUCAGUUUGUUGGUGAGGUAAUGGCCCACCAAGACUAUUACAGGUACGGGCUCUGAGAGGAGUAGCCCGGAGAUGGGUACUGAGACACGGACCCAGGCCCUAUGGGGCGCAGCAGGCGAGAAAACUUUGCAAUGUGCGAAAGCACGACAAGGUUAAUCCGAGUGGUUUCUGCUAAAGAAACCUUUUGUCAGUCCUAGAAACACUAACGAAUAAGGGGUGGGCAAGUUCUGGUGUCAGCCGCCGCGGUAAAACCAGCACCUCAAGUGGUCAGGAUGAUUAUUGGGCCUAAAGCAUCCGUAGCUCGUUUUGUAAGUUUUCGGUUAAAUCCAUGCGCUUAACGUAUGGGCUGCCGGGAAUACUGCAUAACUAGGAAGUGGGAGAGGUAGACGGUACUCGGGAGGAAGGGGUAAAAUCCUUUGAUCUCUUGAUGACCACCUGUGGCGGAGGCGGUCUACCAGAACACGUUCGACGGUGAGGGAUGAAAGCUGGGGGAGCAAACCGGAUUAGAUACCCGGGUAGUCCCAGCUGUAAACUAUGCAAACUCAGUGAUGCAUUGGCUUAUGGCCAAUGCAGUGCUGCAGGGAAGCCGUUAAGUUUGCCGCCUGGGAAGUACGUACGCAAGUAUGAAACUUAAAGGAAUUGGCGGGGGAGCACCACAA